RNAcentral lists this ribosomal RNA (253 nucleotides) under uncultured bacterium. RNAcentral's name for it is "partial 16S ribosomal RNA". It matches the Rfam family "Bacterial small subunit ribosomal RNA", at positions 524 to 776 of the family's 1533-position model. The record is from RNAcentral.
UACGUAGGGGGCGAGCGUUGUUCGGAAUUACUGGGCGUAAAGGGCGCGUAGGCGGGAUGGCAAGUCGGUCGUGAAAUCCUUCGGCUCAACCGAAGAACGUCGAUCGAUACUGCUGUUCUUGAGGGUUGCAGAGGAGACUGGAAUUCCCGGUGUAGCGGUGAAAUGUGUAGAGAUCGGGAGGAACACCGGUGGCGAAGGCGGGUCUCUGGGCAAUUCCUGACGCUGAGGCGCGAAAGCGUGGGGAGCAAACGGG